Non-coding RNA from Vicia faba (fava bean), 309 nucleotides. The record is from the annotation of a GenBank genome assembly. NCBI's taxonomy places the organism in Eukaryota, Viridiplantae, Streptophyta, Magnoliopsida, Fabales, Fabaceae.
AAAUAUGCACUAUCUCAUCCUAAGCAAAAUAGUAACCUAAAAAUGACAAGCACAGAUAAGCAAUUACCUAACCAUUUAUUCUCCAAAAUACUCUCUUCCAAUUACUUUCUUCAUCAUCAUUUUGUCCUUUACCUCUCACCCUUUUCCUCCUUCAAAAAGUCCCUUUGUCCACACAUAUAUCCUACCCUUCCUUCCUCUAUACUAACCUCAACAACUUUCCCUUUGUCCUUUUGUCAAACAUCACUUGAUUCUAAUCUAUGUUGCUUUCAUCAAGAAUCAAUUAGAAGGUCCCAAAAUACUAAAAAAUAA